ACUGGAGUUUGAUCCUGGCUCAGAGCGAACGCUGGCGGCAGGCCUAACACAUGCAAGUCGAACGGACCCUUCGGGGUUAGUGGCGGACGGGUGAGUAACACGUGGGAACGUGCCUUUAGGUUCGGAAUAGCUCCUGGAAACGGGUGGUAAUGCCGAAUGUGCCCUUCGGGGGAAAGAUUUAUCGCCUUUAGAGCGGCCCGCGUCUGAUUAGCUAGUUGGUGGGGUAAUGGCCCACCAAGGCUACGAUCAGUAGCUGGUCUGAGAGGAUGACCAGCCACAUUGGGACUGAGACACGGCCCAAACUCCUACGGGAGGCAGCAGUGGGGAAUCUUGCGCAAUGGGCGAAAGCCUGACGCAGCCAUGCCGCGUGUAUG
Molecule: ribosomal RNA, 374 nt
Filed under: uncultured Brevundimonas sp.
Lineage: Bacteria; Pseudomonadati; Pseudomonadota; Alphaproteobacteria; Caulobacterales; Caulobacteraceae
Description: bacterial SSU rRNA
Rfam family: Bacterial small subunit ribosomal RNA
Source: RNAcentral